This 229-nucleotide ribosomal RNA is filed under the name uncultured bacterium. RNAcentral describes it as "partial 16S ribosomal RNA". It matches the Rfam family "Bacterial small subunit ribosomal RNA", at positions 568 to 796 of the family's 1533-position model. The record is from RNAcentral.
UGCGUAGGCGGACUAAUAUGUCAGUGGUGAAAUCUCUCGGCUCAACCGGGAAACUGCCAUUGAUACUGUUAGUCUUGAGUUUGGUUGGGGUAGGCGGAAUGUGUAAUGUAGCGGUGAAAUGCUUAGAUAUUACACAGAACACCAAUUGCGUAGGCAGCCUACUAGACCGACACUGACGCUGAGGCACGAAAGCGUGGGUAGCGAACAGGAUUAGAUACCCUGGUAGUCC